RNAcentral lists this unclassified non-coding RNA (206 nucleotides) under root metagenome. Its description in RNAcentral is "partial contains small subunit ribosomal RNA, internal transcribed spacer 1, and 5.8S ribosomal RNA". The record is from RNAcentral.
UCUCCGUUGGUGAACCAGCGGAGGGAUCAUUACAGAGUUGAAAAACUCCAACCCCUGUGAACCUACCUUUACUGUUGCUUCGGCGGACGAUGGCCCCCCGGGCCGGAAGCCGCCGGAGGUUACAAACCCUGAAUUUUAGCUGUUUUUGUACCAUCUGAGUCUUCCACAAAUAAACAAAACUUUCAACAACGGAUCUCUUGGUUCUG